UUCUGUCGAUCAGCAUAAACCUCCCAAGGACCUCAUAAUACCGACAGCUGAAAGUAGCCUAUUAUGCUUUUUCAAUCUUGUUUUGAUUUUUACUAGUUACAUGUAUUAGUUACUAACUUAUAUAUCACCAAUUUAAACUUGGAAACUUGAGUCAAUCAAGGAAUUUCUGCGGCUAGCUUGCUACCAUGUCCAACACACAAAAGCUUUUAGGUCACCAGCAGUAUCAUCCCAAAUCCAGUGAGUCAGAUUGGUCGUGUGCUGACGGCCGCCCUCAAUGUUAAACUGCCAUGCUCCGCAUUAUAGGCUUAAACUAAUGCCUCAUUAGCAUCAGUGUCUCACUGACUCCACUCUGAAACAGCACCCUCCUCCACUACAGGGGACCUGUUAGCAUCACUGCCAACCACGCAGAGCUGGAGGAAACUGAAGCAUCACCCAGAUAUUCAGAAAUUUUGGAUGUAUCAAUAGUAUAACAACACAACUGUAUAAGAAACAUAAAAAGUUUAGAAAUGUUA
Molecule: long non-coding RNA, 512 nt
Organism: Micropterus dolomieu (smallmouth bass)
Lineage: Eukaryota; Metazoa; Chordata; Actinopteri; Centrarchiformes; Centrarchidae
Exons: 2
Source: RefSeq, a predicted model, not a curated record